AUACGGAGGGUGCAAGCGUUGUUCGGAAUUACUGGGCGUAAAGCGCGUGCAGGCGGUAAGGUAAGUCAGAUGUGAAAGCCCCGGGCUCAACCCGGGAAGUGCAUUUGAUACUGCCUUUCUUGAGUAUGGGAGAGGAGAGUGGAAUUCCCAGUGUAGAGGUGAAAUUCGUAGAUAUUAGGAGGAACACCCGUGGCGAAGGCGACUCUCUGGACCAAUACUGACGCUCAGACGCGAAAGCGUGGGGAGCGAACAGGAUUAGAAACCCCAGUAGUCC
This 274-nucleotide ribosomal RNA is filed under the name uncultured bacterium. Its description in RNAcentral is "partial 16S ribosomal RNA". It matches the Rfam family "Bacterial small subunit ribosomal RNA", at positions 523 to 796 of the family's 1533-position model. The record is from RNAcentral.